GCAAGACUUCUGUAUUCUUUUUCUUGUGACCAUGUUACUGCAGAAAUUGGUUUUUGACCCGUCAACAGCUCAACUAGGACCACUCCAAAGCUAUAGACGUCACUUUUCUCCGUAAAUUGGCUUGAUUGAAAGUACUCUGGGUCCAAGUAACCAAAAGUUCCAUGUACACAUGUGGUCAGAUGAGUUUGGUCAAUGGAAAUUGAUCUUGAAGUUCCGAAAUCAGCAAUUUUUGCUCUGUAUUUUCUAUCUAAAAGUAUGUUGGCAGACUUGAUGUCUCUGUGAUAUAUGGGAACGGAAGCUGCACCAUGCAAGUACGAAAGAGCUCCUGCAACUUCUGUGGCAAUUUGCAACCGCAUUUCCCAUGUGAGUGUGAAUUCCUCAAUCUGCCCUUGGAUAUAUUGAGAAAGAGUUCCAUUCGGUAUGAAUUCGUAGACCAAAAGUGGAACUUCGGUCUCUAAACAACAACCCAUAAUUUGAACCACAUUUCUGUGGUUGAUUUGUGAAAGAAUUACAAUCUCAUUGAUGAAAUCCGAGAGUUUGCUUGUGUCCACCAUUUUGGACUUCUUUACCGCAACAAUUCUUCCAUCCGCCAACAUGCCUUUGUAAACGGUACCUUGACCUCCCUGGCCAAGAAUUCUAUCAAUACUAAAAUUGUUGGUGGCCUUUUCUAAUUCCUUCGAAUUGAAUAACUUGAUUUUGUCAACAUUAACUUCGCCAGACGAUAACUGUUGCUCUAGCAAUAAACCACCAUUUCGUUUGAAAAACAUUUUCUUGCGUGCAAUGGUUUUCUUUAUCUUCACGAUUUUGUGUACCAACCAUGCACCAAUGAGCAGUAACCAUACCCCAACACUGGAGCCAAGACCUGCAUCAAUAGGUAUUGAAUUAUAUCUAAACACAAAAACAUUUAGAACAACACUGUAACCAAAAAAAACUUUUGAAUAAUAUUACCAUAAUAGGUGGAAGAUGCAUAUAUUAUUAUUUUGAGAGAUGUAAGAAGAUAGGAGUACUAUAUACCUGAAAUAAUAGCUAGGAUUACAGUUUUAGAGGCCCGACCCGAUGUGGUUCUGAAGUGGCAUGCAAGGUCCGAAGCAAAAUGUGUACAUCUACGGCCAUUUAAAUUUGAGUAGCAGCUAUAACCCCCAUCCAAAUUCUCACAUACAUCGCCUACUUCACACUUACUACUGCCUUUGCAUUCAUCGAUAUCUGAAAUGAUGAUGACCCGAGAUACGCUUCAGUCCAAACUCACACAUAUAAGAAUCGCAUAUGUUCGAAUGUUGUCAAAAGGCGAAAAGAUAAUUAAUACUAAUUAAACUUUCUGGUACUAGAAUAAACUCAAUUCCAAUAGUAGUUUUGUACUUAUUUUUUUGAAGUUUUGGAUGUGUGACUUUACGUUCUUCGAUAGAGAUAUAAUAGACCAGUUCAAUAAUCUAGAUUAUUAAGAUAAACAUAUAUUUAUACAUAACAAAAGAAAAUAAAUUGCAAAAAGGUUUUGAACCAGAAUGUAUAUUUAAAACUGGUGUGUUUCGCAACAGAAGUUUGGAACUACAAAUAAUUUCACAAUUUCGACCAAAAAAAAAGGUAAUUUCACAAUUAAUGGUUGAACUUAAAAAGAUAGGCUUCAAAUAACAUUUUUGUCUGCGAAACCUUGUGUAAAUGUGACCAGCCAAGGCCACCCGAUUGGAACAUGGACUCGUUCAGUGUUUGCAGAAACCUGGGGAUGGUGAGGAAAAUUAAUAGUGCUGGUACAUGGCUAAUAAGGAGGUCAGCAUUUGUCUAAUGACAUGUUUUAGAUGCCAUUUCAACUCGUGUAAAAUACCUAAUGGGGCUUUGGGCCACAUCCAAAUUAUAUUCAUUAAAGUAAGCCCCCAAACGAACUGAUCCACUCAUCUCUUUUGAAAACAUUUGAUAAAAACAAGGUUUCACAGACAAAAAUGUUACUUGAAGUCUAUCAAUCUAAAUCCAGAAAGAAGAGAUUCAGUUUGCGUACCUUGACAAGGUUGGAGAAGAUAAGGAUUUCCUUCCAUGCCCGGAGGACAGACACAAAUCAUUAUGGUCCCAUUGUAAUCGUUAUUGCUGGUGCAAAGGGAUGUUGAUUGGUUAGCGUCAGUCAGGUCUGGUUUUUCUCUGAAUCUUUCACCAUAGUCAUGUACGUUUAACAUCCAGUCUAGCACCACAGGAACGCUGUCCAUAUCCUUCACGUCUCGAAACGUUAAGUUAUUCGCAAACCAAUUGUGGUCAACCAAAAAUGCAUACUUGCAAUCACCCAUUGGAUCUGACUUUGUUGAUGAAUUUGAUGGUAUCUCAAUACUAAGAUUGGUGAGUUCAUAAGUUAGAAGAGUACCUUGGCAACAGCCAUUACCUUCAUUGCAGUUGUCAUAGUCGCCGUCUGCAUUGUUUUGACAAAUCGACCCGCAUCCAGCGACAGGCCCAUGAUCUGAACGCAUACGGGCAAAGAGGUCACAACCCACUGCAAUGAAUAUGUUGUCUGUCCGAGAGUAAAUGAAAGGACUGCCCGUCAAAUUCUGGGGUUGGCGAGUUUCCUUUCCCUCGCAGCUGAAGAAAGUAAUUGGGUUCUUAACCUGAACCGAUUGCACGCCAUAAUCAUUAAACGGAAAAAUACUUAGCAGCUCCAGGUUGACGCUCUUGAGGAAAGGUGCCUGUCUGCUGUAAUUAGCUGAGGUUGUAGAGUUGUCGUGCCUGCAAUCUAUUUGAAACCAUUCAUCUAAGUAACAAUCUUUGUGAGGUCCAAUCCCGAAAGGGUAUGGGAUGGCAAUGUCUCCACAAUGCGUUGUGCAAUUAGGCUUUGCUAUAGGCGCUGAUGCUGCACUAGUUGUUGCAGCUCCAUAGCAACAACUUAGUAUUAUUAUGCGCCAUAACAACAGAAUAAUGGAUAUGAUAUUCAUUAUUUAUCAAACUGAUUUGCAGAGUUUGAUUUUUGCAGUCCAAAUUGAUGUAUAUCAAACUUUAUAUAGCUCCCAAAAAAGGAAAAAGGAACAUGGUUACAUUUCGUUGAUUUGUGCACACAUGAAUUUGCAUGGAAAUUAUAGUGUACAUUAUUGUUUAUAGCUAGCCAUGUUUGACUCAUGCUAUAUAGAGAAUUGGUCUACAAAUUAUAAAAUUAUUAUGAGUAAAGGAUCAUUUUUUUGUAUUAAACAUGUUAUGGGCUUGUUUAGUCAUAAUAUGGAUAUGUUGCCUAACUUGGAGGAUGAAUGGAGACUAUUUAUAAGAGGUUGAUGAUUAAAACUUAUCGCCUUGCAAAUGGUCAUUGACUAUCUACAAGAUGACUAGUCAACUAUCAAGCACACAAAUUCAGAAAAUUGUUCACAACAAAACCAGAAAAUUGUUCACCCAGAAACCCACAACUGGGAAAAACUAGGGGUAAUUAUCCGACCAGGCAAUCCACUAAGCAAAGAAGAUUCUUACAGAAAAUACACAAGCAAGCUAAAGAAAUCCUAGAUCUAUUUAGGAAACAAGCUAUACCUCCUUUGUGCAAUCUUCUUCUCCAACUUAGUUAAGCUAGUAGCUAGUCCGUCAUGUAAGUGACAGCUAGUCCAUCAGCUCCUUCACUCCAUAGCACCGGCGACUCAGCUCCAGAUCGAACAAACAUAAUGAAAUGUAGAUUCUGAGAUGAAAAGGUCAAUUCCUUCAAGAAACCGUACUCUUGAAGAAAUCAACCAAGAAUUUGAUCUAGACUAGGAAUGAUGACUAGUCAUAAUGAACCCAGAUGACUAGUCAUAAUAAACCCAGAUGCAGACAAAGAAGAUGACUAGUCAUAACUGAACCCAGAUGCAGAUUAUAAAAAGCAUAGCAGAUUUUAAAAAACAUCAAAAUCUCACAAUGAAAAACCUUAGAAAAUGCAUAGUAUAAGUUUUACUCUCAAAAUUUCUCAAUGGGUGAAGUAGAUUUCGAAAAUAAAAGCAUAUUUCAAAAGCUAUUUGAAAACCAUAUUUGAAAACUCAAACCAUACCCAGCUGCAAAUGCAGAGAAGAAGAAGACCACUCUCUCUCUCUCUCUCUCUCUCUCUCUCUCUCUCUCUAAAAAUUAUAUCAGAAAUUGUAAAUGAGAGAGAUGGUGAGUCCAGACCAGCCCUAACCUUUUUGGUAGGUCAGAAGUACACUUGGUAGCCAAUGAUUGGACUUACAAUAAGCAAAAUCAUGUGCCUUGGUCAAAAAUCCCGUGCUGGAAAUAUUGGCCCAAAUGACUAGUCAUCUCGACAAACCUAUAUGCUGAUUUGGCCUAUAUGACUAGUCAUCUCGACAAAGUAUAUGGAUGCAAAUGCUGAUUUCCCUAUUUAUGCUCAUUAUAAAUGAAUGCACAAAUUACCAUGGUUUUGUAGCCUCAUAAGCUUUUCAAUGUACUUCAACUUUGUAGCAAAUACCCAAUGCCUAAUUUCUAAAGAUGAGCUAAGAGGAAUUACAUGAAAGUGUACAUUUGGCAAGGAAAGCCAAUUCUAACAAUCUUAAAACUAACAAUUCUAUAUAGUUGACAAAUCAUUGUAUAACUAGGAGAUACUAUCCUAAUUGAUUACUGUAUCUAUUUCCUUGUAAAACAUUCAUGCAAACUCCUAUAUAUAUCUCCUUAUGGAGAAAAAUAAAACUCAACCCAAAUUAUUCAAACCAUAUUCAAAUUUUAGUAUGGUAUCAGAGCAAUCGAUCCUAAAUUGUCUGUAAACCCUUAUCUCAAAUUUCUCAUAUUCAAAUUCAAAAUUCUAAAUCAAGUUCCUCAUAUUUUUUCCCAAAUCCAAAUCUCUCAAAUUUUUCCCCAGAAUUAUGCAGAGGAAGUUUUGCGGCCUGCUGUGAUGGGUAACUUUUUGCAGUCAAAGAACAAUGAAGAACCUUAUCGUGCACAGUUCCCUAUCCACAAGCUUCUAGUGUAAUUAAAUUAAUUAUAAAGAUAAAUUGGCACCUGAAAAAUGGCUCCUUUACGGAAACAUCAUUUUUAUCACCUUGGUAUGGGUUUUAAAACUGUUGCAGUGACAACUGUCUGAACCAGAGUGAAGGAUUUCUCCAUUUUCAUGAAUUGGGGUUUGGGAAACAAAAGACAGAACUAGUGAUAUUCGCGAGAGUGAGAGAAAGGCAUUUGAGCUUUUGGAGUUUUAAAGGGUUUUGACGCAAAAGUCAAAAAUAAAAAAUAAAAAAUAAAAAUAGUGGAACUCCUUGAAGUUUUUGAUGUUUUUUUUUUGGGCAGAGUUUUUGAUGUUUUUACAGACUUUUGAGGUUUUGAGCUGAAACAAAAUGAACCGAAAAAUACUGAAAAUUUUGAUUUUGGCUUCAACUAUUUCGAUAACCAAACCAAGUAUAUUAACGAUGGCCUAUAUGUGAUAUAUAAGCCAUUUUUAUUAUGACUUUAAAAUUCUAACUUCCUGCCAGUGGGUUCUGACCACGGUGGUGGUGGAUUCCCCCUCCCCUCAUGGCACCUGAAGUUAAACCCUUCUAAAAGAGCUAAAAAAGCUUCUAGCAAUGUUUGCUAGAAAAGUUGUUAGAAGGGCUUCUCCCUCAUCUUCAUUACGGUCUCAAGCCCCCUCAUUUUCCUCAGUUUCACACCCUCCAUCCACGUCUCCAACACCAUCAACCAUUAUCUUUUUAGUUGAAUCUCUUUGAAUUCAUUGAUGGAUUAAUGGAUGGGAGGGAGUUGAGUUUUAUUUUUGGGCUUCUAGUGAUGAUAAGACAAAGCCAAACAAGAAAAUGUUGAAAAUUUGGAAAUUUGGAAAUGUUGGAUUAGUGGAUGGGAGGGAGUUGAGUUUUAUUUUUGGGCUUCAACUUUAAAUUAGAAAAUAGCUGCAAAUUUGGUUUAUACACGAAAUUAAGCUUCUUUUUUUUAUGUUUUAUUCCCAAGUACAAGUGUUGAAGUAACGAGAUCAUAAGAAAAACAUAACAUAUGUGUUCAACAACGUUAAAUGAAACAAAGUUUAUUCAAUUAAAAGGAAUUCACCAUAAUUUGUAGAUGGCAACAAUGGCAUAAACCCAUGUUUUUAGAAGCUAGAUGACACUUCUUGAAGUGAUUCAACAUCCCAAUGCCUAACUGAAUCAUCUUCCACAAAAUCAACCCCUUCAGAAUUUUGCUGGGCACUAAUGGAAGGUUUUCUUGAUUUUUGUACAGCCUCUAGCUCAGAUGUAACCUCUCUCAUUGUAGGACGGUUUCUUCCAUUCAAAUUCAAGCAUCUCCUUGCAAGGUUAGCGACAACUUGGAUUUCUGUUUCAGAGCCCUCCUUCAGAACUUGAGCAUCAACAGUGUUAAACAGACGAUCUUCUUGCAUCGAGGUAAGAAAUAUGCGGCAAGACUUCUGUAUUCUUCUUCUUGUGACAAUGUUACUACAGAAAUUGGUUUUUGCCCUGUCAAGAGCUCAACAAGGACCACUCCAAAGCUAUAGACAUCACUUUUCUCCGUAAAUUGGCUUGAUUGAAAGUACUCUGGGUCCAAGUUAUUGGAGUUUCUAUAUAAUAGCAUGUGUUCUUGCACAGAAAGUAUAUGAGGAAACGUUUCAGAGAGAAAAG
RNAcentral lists this long non-coding RNA (6494 nucleotides) under Prunus persica (peach). RNAcentral describes it as "long non-coding RNA (PPER_LNC005162)". Lineage: Eukaryota; Viridiplantae; Streptophyta; Magnoliopsida; Rosales; Rosaceae. The record is from RNAcentral.